Long non-coding RNA from Mauremys reevesii (Reeves's turtle), 927 nucleotides. RefSeq lists it as uncharacterized. The transcript is spliced from 5 exons. The record is from RefSeq and is a predicted model, not a curated record. NCBI's taxonomy places the organism in Eukaryota, Metazoa, Chordata, Testudines, Geoemydidae.
AGCCUUGCGGUGGAACAUGACUGACAAGUAGGUGAGCACUGAAAGGUCUCUAGAAGCCUAAUGAUCUGGAUGCUAAGGAACCUUCUCCACUGAUGACUCUUCAUAGCUGGUAAUAAGUAGUAAUAACUAAUUCUGUCAAACAUUGAUUGCAGGUUUUGCUCUUCUGAGAUAUGAAGAGACCAGGUGGUCAUUCCUACCAGGGAGAAAUGAGGCUUAGUGGCAUGGCUGUCCUAGGCAAGGAGACAAAAAAGCCACUUCAAAUAGUUCAGCUAGUCGCAAAUCUGAAUCAAGUCAGCAGAACAUCACAGACAUGGAGAUGAGAGAAAUGCAGAUGAGUUGAACGUUGAGGGUGUGAAAUCUUCAGGAAGUUGCUAGAAGAUCUGGGAUAUCUACAGAAAGGAAACAAACAAAACUCGUCACUGUUACCAAGAGGAGGAGAGUUACAGAUGCUCAGGAUUUGAGUACAAAGGAAUAGGAAUGGAGCUGAACAGAUCCAACACCUGAAAAGACGAUUGGAUCUCAAAAUAUGAAAGACCCUUCAUUCAAUAAAGCAACAGGAUUGGCUCUGAGGAGAGGAAAGAGCCAGCGUGGACAAUAUUCAAGACACAAUGUUCAAAGGUUGCUGCUGGGAUGGAAGCAAAGAAGAAAGCCCUGGAGACAGGUUAGUGCUGGGACACAGACACUAUCCUGGAGGGGCCUGGGACAGGGUAUGUAACCAUAGCAACCAGCGGGUCCUUUCCCCACUGUGGUCCUGGCUCGCAUGCACAGGGUGAAACCGAUCGCCAUGUUUGGGGUCAGGAAGGAAUUUUCCUCCAGGGCAGAUUGGCCAGAGACCCUGGAGGUUUUUCGCCUUCCUCUGGGGCAUCGAGCAGUGACCAGCCCUUAGGACCAUUUACGAACAGACAUAAUAAAAUCCAUCAAAGAGAA